ACCCACUCGUGCAAUCGAAGGCUGGACGCACCCCGCUGGAGUUUGCCGUGCAGCAUGGCCGUCACAAGGUGGAGUCCUGGCUGGUUAAAAAUUGCAGCGGUGUUGUGAGAAGGAAGACUCUGCGUGUGUAGCAAGUGAGGGCGUGGCGUGGCGAGCAUGAACACCACCACAACAAAGUCUUGUCCAUGCUGGUGGAGGGCAACGAGGCAGACAUGGCCAACAUCCCCGAGGUUUGUGAUGGUCACACGCUGAGCCAGGAUGGCCUGACGCCUCUCCACGCCGCGGCGCUGUGCGGGGCUCCCAGUGCUGCUGUGGAGGCUUUGCUGCGACGCGACGUGAGCCCUCAUGUGACCACCCCUGACAACAUGACCCCCGCUGACCUGGCACGGCAGCAAGGCCAAGACUCAGUGAUUAAGGGACUACAGCGCCACCACUGUGUACAGGUGUGUGUGUGUGUGUGUGUGUGUGAAUUGAAUUUAUAACUGAAUUGAAUUGAAUUUAUUGAGUAAGGUCAGACUUUCUAUAAAGUAUGGAGCACAGCUCUCCAGCAAAAGAAUACAGACACUAUAGAUUAUAUACAGAAUGUGCAUAAUAUUACAUAAGAAAAGACAAAUACAUACAAAUGAAAUACGCUGUAAGCAAUGGCAAAAAAUUAAUAUAAAAAAAUGUGUAUGCAUAUAUAAUGAUACAUACUGUCACUAAUUAAGAAAUAAAAAAAAAACUAUUGAGGUGUUUUGCACACUGUUUAUCUAAACAUGCGUAGCAUCAUCCUCAAAAACAAAGAUAAUUUCUUUAUCACAUUUGAACUUAUACUUUGCAUGAACAAAACAUAUUUGAAUUGUGUUGGCCUAUUUAUGUAAUUUGCUAUAUACAUAUUACCUAACCUAACAAUUUCCAUAUCAGUACAUUCAAAAAGAACAUGAAAUUCUUCUCCUUCUACCUCAGCAUUACACAUGUUACAUACCCUAUCUUCUCUACUGACACCUUGAUACCUACCAACAUUUACAGGAAGUCUAUUAUUACAACUUCUAAAUUUAGUCACUAAUAAUCUGUCACCCUUUAUUAACUGUUCUAAAUACUGUUCUCUGCCAAAAUCUGUCUUAAACACCCUAUAACUGCUGCUAAAUGAUUUUGUUUCUAAAUUAUGAUGCCAAGUUACAAGCCACUGAUCUUUCAAUCUCUGUUCCAUAGCUUUCUUCACCCAUCUUGAAUUAGAAACAUCUUGCAACACCACAUACCAGACAUUCCACAGUCAUUACAAAUAUUCUUUAUAUAAGUUUACCAUGGAGAAGUAUGAAGCCCUAACCUAUCCAGCUGCAAUAGACAUUGGUACAUUAAAUAACACAGUUUAGUAUUUUUACCUGAAAUUAGCCUAGACCAAUAACCUAUCAUUUUUUUUUUCUUUAUAUAAAUAUCAAGUGGAAAUACACCCGGUUCACCAUACACCAUGUCAUUACAAGUAUUCUCAUGAACACCCAAAACCUGCUUUAAAAAAUUCAUGUACAUAUACUCUUAACUCCCUAGCAAUAUGGUAACCCAAAAUUUCAGCUGCACAAGUCAAUAUAGGUAACACCAUGGUGGUAAAUAAUUUGAGUUGUAUAUCCACUGGCAAGUCAAACUUCCUACACUUACUUAUUAAUGAGUACAUUGCUCUUGUAGGUGUCUCUUUUAGCUCCAGCUCACCUUUGCAAAACCUCCCAUUAUAAUUUAAUAAUACUCCAAGAUACUUAUACUCUGUCACUACUUCAAUGUUUUCACCACCAAAUUCAAGUUCAUAGUUAAAUUUUGUCUUCCCCUGCUAAACACUACUAUUUUUGUUUUGUUACAAUUUAGCUUCAAUUUCCAUUCAUUACAAUAUAAAUUCACAGCAGCCAAUGCCUGCAUCAUUCCAUCCUCACUGUCACACAAAAUAAUUGUAUCAUCUGCAUACAUAAUAACAAAUAGUUUAAGAUACAUGUUUAAGAAAUCGUCACCAAAAUUUACAUAACUGCAAUUAUAUUCAAUUAAUUUACUUUCAAUAUCAUUCACAUAAAAAGCAAAAAGCACCGAUGAUAAAUUUUCCCCCUGUUUUACCCCUACAUUGCAAACAAAGGUGUCUGAAAUCUGGUUAAGCAUGACACAUGAUCUGAUAUUAUUGUACAUAUUUCUGAUUACAUUUAGAAUUUUCCCUUGCAUCUCUUCCUUCACAAGUUUACACCAUAAACCUUCACGCUGUACCAUAUCAAAGGCUUUCUUAUAAUCAACAAAUAAACAAAAUAGCUUUCUCUUCUUCCACUUAAAUAAAUCAAUGACACAUUUGAAGAAAAAA
Scylla paramamosain (green mud crab) is the source of this 2308-nucleotide long non-coding RNA. RefSeq lists it as uncharacterized. The transcript has 2 exons. The record is from RefSeq and is a predicted model, not a curated record. NCBI's taxonomy places the organism in Eukaryota, Metazoa, Arthropoda, Malacostraca, Decapoda, Portunidae.